CUCAUAGGGGGCAUGUGCACACUCUGUUUACACAUCCACUCACACCUGUGCACCCUCUGUAGUUCUAUGGUCUGGGGGACCCUGUCUUCCUUCUGUGGUUCUACGUCUUUACACACACACUGUAAUAAAGUUUUAUGGAAUGUACAUCGCGUCUAACGCAAUACAAUACAACUUUCAGCAACGGAUCUCUUGGCUCUCGCAUCGAUGAAGAACGCAGCGAAAUGCGAUAAGUAAUGUGAAUUGCAGAAUUCAGUGAAUCAUCGAAUCUUUGAACGCACCUUGCGCCCCUUGGCUAUUCCGAGGGGCAUGCCUGUUUGAGUAUCAUGAACACCUCAACUCUCAUGGUUUGCCAUGAUGAGUUGGACUCUGGGGGUUUUGCUGGCCUGUGGUCGGCUCCUCUCAAAUUAAUCAGCCUCCCAGUGUUUGGUGGCAUCACGGGUGUGAUAAAUAUCUACGCUCGCUGUUGUCUGCCAGGUAACCUUUGGUCACAAAGGUUUGCUGGAGCUCACAGAUGUCUCUCCUCAGCGAGGACAGCUUUUUUAACGUUCGAUCUCAAAUCAGGUAGGACUACCCGCUGAACUUAAGCAUAUCAAUAAGCGGAGGAAAAGAAACUAACAAGGAUUCCCCUAGUAACUGCGAGUGAAGCGGGAAAAGCUCAAAUUUAAAAUCUGGUGUGCCUCUGGUCGUCCGAGUUGAG
Molecule: ribosomal RNA, 697 nt
Filed under: uncultured fungus
Lineage: Eukaryota; Fungi
Description: eukaryotic LSU rRNA
Rfam family: 5.8S ribosomal RNA (bases 170-324)
Source: RNAcentral